UGGUGAUGUAGCUCAGUUGGUAGAGCAAAGGACUGAAAAUCCUUGAGUCGGUGGUUCGAUUCCACUCAUCACCACCCA
Molecule: transfer RNA, 78 nt
Filed under: Cesiribacter andamanensis AMV16
Lineage: Bacteria; Pseudomonadati; Bacteroidota; Cytophagia; Cytophagales; Cesiribacteraceae
Description: tRNA-Phe
Rfam family: tRNA
About the family: Transfer RNA (tRNA) molecules are approximately 80 nucleotides in length. Their secondary structure includes four short double-helical elements and three loops (D, anti-codon, and T loops). Further hydrogen bonds mediate the characteristic L-shaped molecular structure. tRNAs have two regions of fundamental functional importance: the anti-codon, which is responsible for specific mRNA codon recognition, and the 3' end, to which the tRNAs corresponding amino acid is attached (by aminoacyl-tRNA synthetases). tRNAs cope with the degeneracy of the genetic code in two manners: having more than one tRNA (with a specific anti-codon) for a particular amino acid; and 'wobble' base-pairing, i.e. permitting non-standard base-pairing at the 3rd anti-codon position.
Source: RNAcentral